UAAAUAACAUAAAAUGUCAUCUUCUAUAUUCUGAUAAUUAAACAAUUAAUAUAAGUUUUACAAAUUAAAAAAUAUGCUAAAAUACUAAUUAUAAGUAGAAAAUGAAAAAGAAAAAAAGAAAAAAGAAUAAUUACAAGAAAAUGAAAAUGAGACCGUAUGGUAUAAAGGAAACCAACGCAAUCAUUUUUCCAGUGUUACAUUAGCAUCACCUUUAUUAUUGUGAGAUCCUCAUAAUCCUAACAAACAUCUCAGUCUCAUCAAAACAAUACGAAAAACC
Molecule: long non-coding RNA, 277 nt
Filed under: Lathyrus oleraceus (garden pea)
Lineage: Eukaryota; Viridiplantae; Streptophyta; Magnoliopsida; Fabales; Fabaceae
Description: Pisum sativum (pea) long non-coding RNA (PSAT_LNC041263)
Source: RNAcentral